AACAAACGCUGGCGGCAUGCCUAACACAUGCAAGUCGAACGAGACCUUCGGGUCUAGUGGCGCACGGGUGCGUAACGCGUGGGAACCUGCCCUUAGGUUCGGAAUAACUCCCCGAAAGGGGUGCUAAUACCGGAUAAUGUCUUCGGACCAAAGAUUUAUCGCCUUUGGAUGGGCCCGCGUUGGAUUAGCUAGUUGGUAGGGUAAAAGCCUACCAAGGCGACGAUCCAUAGCUGGUCUGAGAGGAUGAUCAGCCACACUGGGACUGAGACACGGCCCAGACUCCCACGGGAGGCAGCAGUGGGGAAUAUUGGACAAUGGGCGAAAGCCUGAUCCAGCAAUGCCGCGUGAGUGAUGAAGGCCUUAGGGUUGUAAAGCUCUUUUACCCGGGAUGAUAAUGACAGUACCGGGAGAAUAAGCUCCGGCUAACUCCGUG
RNAcentral lists this ribosomal RNA (433 nucleotides) under uncultured bacterium. RNAcentral describes it as "partial 16S ribosomal RNA". It matches the Rfam family "Bacterial small subunit ribosomal RNA", at positions 29 to 507 of the family's 1533-position model. The record is from RNAcentral.